Molecule: ribosomal RNA, 253 nt
Filed under: uncultured bacterium
Lineage: Bacteria
Description: partial 16S ribosomal RNA
Rfam family: Bacterial small subunit ribosomal RNA
Source: RNAcentral
UACAGAGGGGGCAAGCGUUAUUCGGAAUUAUUGGGCGUAAAGGGCGCGUAGGCGGCUUUGCAAGUGACGGGUGAAAGCCCUCGGCUUAACCGAGGAACUGCCUGUCAGACUGUAAGGCUUGAGACCGGGAGAGGUGAGUGGAAUUCCCAGUGUAGCGGUGAAAUGCGUAGAUAUUGGGAGGAACACCAGUGGCGAAGGCGGCUCACUGGACCGGAACUGACGCUGAGACGCGAAAGCGUGGGGAGCGAACAGG